UACAGAGGGUGCGAGCGUUAAUCGGAAUUACUGGGCGUAAAGCGUGCGUAGACGGUUAUCUAAGUCGGGUGUGAAAGCCCCGGGCUCAACCUGGGAAUUGCAUUCGAGACUGAAUAGCUAGGGUACGGUAGAGGGAAGUGGAAUUUCCGGUGUAGCGGUGAAAUGCGUAGAUAUCGGAAGGAACAUCAGUGGCGAAGGCGACUUCCUGGACCAAUACUGACGCUCAGGUGCGAAAGCGUGGGGAGCAAACAGG
RNAcentral lists this ribosomal RNA (253 nucleotides) under uncultured bacterium. RNAcentral describes it as "partial 16S ribosomal RNA". It matches the Rfam family "Bacterial small subunit ribosomal RNA", at positions 524 to 776 of the family's 1533-position model. The record is from RNAcentral.